CCCCCCCCCCCCCCACACACACACACAAACAAAGAGGCGUUAGGCUGAGACGCUGAAAGUCCGGAUUUAAAGUGCAGAAAAUGAAGCCAUUGAAUCUGCCUGUCCAUGACGUACAAAGACACACUAUGAGCCAGUAUGAUCCGACCAGACCUUACAUCAGCAUUGAGGAGUUGUCGGAGAAGAAAGAGGCUGAUUGAAGCGGUACAGAUGACAUGGAUCCAUCCUUCCACAGCCAGGAGUGCACCGACCUGUGUCCCACACUUCAUAUAAGACUGGAAGCUACACUGAUCUCACAGCUACACACCACAGACGUCUACACACUGGAGAAGAGUCCCACAAAGAAGUCAUGACCCAGAGGCUGCAGAGAAACAUUUCAAGCCUCAUCUGAGUUUUUGUACAAUAUUUUUGCUGUAUGUAAAUAAAGCUUUCACUCCA
This is a long non-coding RNA of Limanda limanda (common dab), 435 nucleotides long. RefSeq lists it as uncharacterized. The record is from RefSeq and is a predicted model, not a curated record. Lineage: Eukaryota; Metazoa; Chordata; Actinopteri; Pleuronectiformes; Pleuronectidae. The transcript has 3 exons.